RNAcentral lists this long non-coding RNA (3123 nucleotides) under Marmota monax (woodchuck). Lineage: Eukaryota; Metazoa; Chordata; Mammalia; Rodentia; Sciuridae. The record is from RNAcentral.
UGCAAGCAUUGUGUGCUCUGCUUUUCUCUGUUUUGCACUUGAAGGACAUUUAGUUAGUCAGCAAUUCUUAUGCCUUAUUUAAAAUGAUGUAUUUAAUUGUCAGCUAAGGUGUUCAAUGUUUAGUUAAAACUGAAUAAUUUGCACUAAGUAAUGCCUUAUGUUAAGCUUUAUAAAAUUACAGAGUCUGAAUAAGCUUUUAUUCCUCAAUUGUUAGUAGUUACCAACUACUUCCUGGGCCUUAAUGUCAGAUGAUAUGUGCUUUGAGCUCACUGCAGACUCAUUAUAGGAUGAAGUUACUCUAAUGGCUCCUAAGUGGUAUAAGUAUAGAUGUUAAGUGCAAUGUUUAUUUGCAUAAUGGACCAUAUAUUACCUAUAUUACCGAAGAAAAGGAAUUCUUAAGGGUAUACUUACCCUUUUUCAAUUAUGAGGGUCUUUUCAGUGAACUGGAUCUUUCAGUGCACUGCUGUCAUUUAGUAGAUUUAAAUGAAGCCCACAGAGGCACAAAAGUUGUACUUCACAAAACAAAUGCAUUCUUCAUUUGCUAGUAUUGUGGUUUUCUGCAUGUCAGUGCUAGCGCAGAGAAAUAUAUUAUAACACCUAAUAAGAGGUCAGUAUUAUAUCCCAUUCAGAUUGUGUUUUGGUUUUCAUUUUGUGGUUCUUUGAGAUCUGUCACUUUUAUUCAUUUUACUCACCAGUCCAAAAGUUACCCAAAUCCUCUUUGAUUUACCAUGAGUCAGUGGCUGCCAUUUUCUUAGUAUGUGUUAUCUAAUUUAAUCUAAUCUAAUCUCUUUUUGUAGUUAAGUGCUGGGAGCCAUUAGCCAAGUAAGUAGGUAUGACAGUUUCCUUGCCAGCAUACCCCAUGUUGCAGUGACAUUGAAUGUAGGUGACCUUGCUCAAGGACCAAGGCGGAUUAGGGCGUUCCCGGUUUAGGUUCCAGGUUUAAGGUUUAAGAUUAUUCCUGCUGGGAAUAGGGCAUAUCCUGCUGCCUGAGUUCCCCUUGAGUUCUCACGGGAUUCAGACAGUAUAUUUUUGGGAGACAGAAACCCAGUGGAGGUGGAUUUGAGAGAGAACGUGGAUUUCCCCAGAACGUGUUUGUAGACAGCUGGUGUGAGUUCGGGAAUAAAGAGUGAUUGUGUGCCCAGCCAGACUGGGGCAUUUGUGCCCAGCCAGACUGCGGCAGUUAAGCAUUUAUGUCCAGGAGCCCUUUUGACCUGAAUUCCUCUGGAUUCUAGAUUUGGGCUACAAUCUUAGCUGUUACAUCAAUUUUCUGUCCAUCAGUUAAAAGUAUGUGUCAAAUUCAUCAAGGAAUGAGGCAAUACUUAUCAUCCAUACCAUAUAGCAUUAUGAUCAGGAGGGUCCAUUUGGAUUUGAGUGUAUGAUGGAAAAGAAAAGGUGGAAAUUCUAAAAUUUCAGCCAUCAAACAUUUCCCGUCAUCUACUAUGGAAGUAAUAAUUAAUAGAACUACACAAUUUAGUUUUGUUUUCUUUCAGUGUUUUAAAUGGAUAGAAUCAAUGAAGUUAUUUCAGUAAAAGUAAAUUGCAUGUGAAAAUGAUAGAGUUUCAUGUCAUUGCAUUUUCCCAUGCCGUACUGUAUUAUCAGCAUUUUGGGUUUUAACUGGUUUUAGAUCUAUUUUGGGAAUGGUUGGUUGGAGAGUCUUGCCAUUCACUAUCUUAAAGCCCUUCAGUGUUUCUUUUCUGUUUCUAAGAUGAAAAUCAAAUUACUUUGCAUGAUGUAAGACAGUGAUCUUUGAGUCCCUGCUAGCUUUUCUAUGUUCUUCUUCCCUCUUCUCACCUUUUGUACUAGUAAAACCAGCCUCCCUGGACUGGUCAGUCAUACCUCAUAUUUCUCUUCAGUGUUACUUCUUAUCUCUCCCUUGUUUCCUGCUCAGCAAACUUCUCUUCACCUCUCAAAACCCACUUCAGGUGAUAACUUCCUCUAAAAAGCCUUGCUCAGUCCUCAUUCCUUUCCUGACAGUUAAUUAUAGUCAUGUGGCCUCUUCUUUAUCUUGAACAUAUCUUUACAAUAUUUACUAGGCAUAUUGUAAUUUUUUGGUUUUCAUCUUUGUAUCUCCAGGAUCCAGCUUGUUUCCUGAUGUUUUGCUAUCUAAUAGAUAUUAAGUUAAUUGAAGUUACUAUGAAUUUGAAAUAGACAUUGAGCAAUUUUUUCCCCUUUUUGAAUUUAUAGUUCAUUUUAAAACAAUGUAUUGCUAUGGGAAUAGGCCUGUAUAUUUUGUGUGUAUGUGUGGUUUUUGUCUCAAAUAGUAGCUCUAUGUGUAGGUUGUUUACUGGAAUUGUGGGUCCCUUUUACAGAUGAAGUAUUAUGCUUAAGGAAACUUACCACUGCUCUUACUUUUGGACCCAAUUCCUCAUAUACAUGUUUUCUCUAGCAUUAUAAUUCUAAGGCUUAGAGCCUACAUGCCACUUAAAAGCCCAAAAUAAUGGCUUUGCACAAAAAGAUGGUUGUGCAAAAAUAUUUUGACAUUGUAGUGUCUAUAAACACUUCCUAUUUAGAUAGAUCAGCCUUUCUCCAUACUAAUAUGUUAAUCUCAUCAUAGCAUUAGAUUUUUGGAACCUCAAGUUAUUCCAGGAAAUAAUGACUUCUCCUGCAUCAGACGUGGGUGGAGAUCAGAGGGUUAUUGAUAGUGUUGUUUCUCAUCUCCCUCCCUUUGUCCUUUCCUCAGCAAAUAAAUACUUUAGUAAAAUAUAGGAGAUCAAGAAACCCCUGUUAAAUAUGUUUGAUUUGGAUGUAAUAAUCUUUAAGCCAUCAGUAUCUAAAUGUGCCUUUCUGUAUUGUAGCAUGCCCCACUUUACAUCAUUUAGCACUUUAGAAAAUGACUUGCCAUCAAGUUUAAAAAAGCUACCUGGUAUCAUGUAUUCUUUUGUAAUUUCACAGCACAUUGAGUAAAAUGUGUCAGUAUAUUUAGAUACCAUGAACAUCAUUACCUUAAUCUACACAUAUUCACUAAAUAUCAAGGUUCCAAUUCCUAGGGUAAACAAUCUCUGUAAUAGAGUUCGUUUGUAACAUUUAAGGUAUGAAUUGCUUCCAUUCUUAGUUUUUUUCCAAAACUAUAUUUUUACAUAUAUGCAGGUAUAUUUCUUUGAAACUUAGAUAAUAUAUAAACAG